This 495-nucleotide ribosomal RNA is filed under the name uncultured Halorhabdus sp. RNAcentral describes it as "bacterial SSU rRNA". It matches the Rfam family "Archaeal small subunit ribosomal RNA", at positions 1 to 496 of the family's 1478-position model. The record is from RNAcentral. Lineage: Archaea; Methanobacteriati; Methanobacteriota; Halobacteria; Halobacteriales; Haloarculaceae.
AUUCCGGUUGAUCCUGCCGGAGGACAUUGCUAUUGGGAUUCGAUUUAGCCAUGCUAGUCGAGCGAGUUCAGACUCGCGGCGAAUAGCUCAGUAACACGUGGCCAAGCUCCCCUUCAGCCAGCGAUACCCUCGGGUAAACUGUAGGUUAACAGCUGAUACAAAACGCCAGCUGGAAUGCGGCGUUUCAGUAAAGACAUCGCUGAGGGAUGCGGCUGCGGCCGAUUAGGUAGACGGUGGGGUAACGGCCCACCGUGCCAGUAAUCGGUACGGGUGAUGAGAGUCAGAGCCCGGAGACGGAAUCUGAGACAAGAUUCCGGGCCCUACGGGGCGCAGCAGGCGCGAAACCUUUACACUGCACGGAAGUGCGAUAGGGGAAUCCCAAGUGCGAGGGCAUAUUAGCCCUCGCUUUUCUCGACUGUAAGGUGGUCGACGAAUAAGAGCUGGGCAAGACCGGUGCCAGCCGCCGCGGUAAUACCGGCAGCUCAAGUGAUGUCC